CUCGACUUUCCUGCCUUAUAAAGACAAAAGGGCAGCUUUCAAGAUGUACAACUAUUUGGCUGAGCAUCAUGGCGAUCACAUAUUGAGCUGUCAUCAACUUGUAUACAAUCAAGACGAAUGGUUGCUUGCGUUAGAAUGUUUUUAAAAACGUAGUAACGUAUUUUAGCGAAAAGAUGAAAAGAUGGAAAGAUAGUUAUUCAAACCGGAGUGAGAAUAAGUGGUUCAGUUACAUUAGAGAAAAUUUCUGUAAGAUCUUCCACGAUGUUGCUCGUAUUUAGGCCUGUUGGAAACUCGAUGACCUCAACACACCUACUAUAGUGGACUUAAUAUCUACAACUAAUACUACACCAACUUUCUGAAGUCGGUUAACUUUUUAUUUUCUAACUUCUUAGUGCACUAUAAUACUCAAGUGGCAAAGCCGACCACAUAUCAUUCAGGUCGGCUCUAUGGUCGACUCUGCCGACCAUAUAUCAUUCAGGUGGCAGAGCCGACCAUAUAUUAAAUUCAACCCAAGUGCAUUAACUACUUAAUUAGAAACCGAAGGCUUAACUGAGACUUACAAUUACAAGAGAAGAAAACAUUUUUAUUAAUACACAACACAAUUACAAUAUGACGCACACUUACCUCACUACUCUUCUCUUUUCUACCUCUACCUUUCACACUCUUUUGCUUAUGGCUCUCUC
This 683-nucleotide long non-coding RNA is filed under the name Gossypium raimondii (Peruvian cotton). RNAcentral's name for it is "long non-coding RNA (GRAI_LNC003542)". The record is from RNAcentral. Lineage: Eukaryota; Viridiplantae; Streptophyta; Magnoliopsida; Malvales; Malvaceae.